GGAAGCAGGUAGGGCCAUCUUAUGUUGUUUGAAGCUGAGAAGCUGUCAGGGCUGUGCUGUGAGGUUCUUUCAAGAAGUGACCUGCAGCAAUCUUCACCUCUGUUCCCUGGAACUUUGGGUACCCCCUACUUGGUGAUGUAGAUAUAAAGAGAACAUUCCCCACACCCUAUGGGAAUGGUAUUUGGGUGAGUUUGUGGGAUGGCCAAGGCUGCCCAUCCUGAUAUCUGUAUACAUGAUGGAUCUCCGGGGCAAAUCUGCCCAGGGUCAGGCAGAGUUUAGGAAUCUGAGACCUUCCCUUUCCUUGUAGCACUGGCAUCAUUCAAACUCUUUGGACAGGCUGGAUUUUCCUCAAAGGGUCGCUGGCACAACAGACACUGAGCCUCAAGGAAAACUGGCUCACUAAGAGGAGUUGGCCCUGACCCUCAGAUGAGACUUUGGACUCUGGACUCUCCAGUCGGUAUCUGACCAAGCAAAGACUAGACAGUUGAGACAGGAAGCCACGUUGUGUGUGUGAAAAGCACAGGGUUCAAGGCUCUCUCUUGCCCUUCUGCUGCCAUGAGCUUAAACAUAAGGUCAAAAAAAAAAAAAAGCCAACCUCUUGAACUUCUCAGACUUCAGAACCAUGAGCCAAGUGACCUGUGGCAUCACAAAAACUAGCAAGACGCCAGAGCUGGCCAAUGCUUUUGAAGCCACCCAGCACCUCUGCCCAGAGCUCCAGGGAACAAGCAGAGUGGGACACCUUCUUCUAGGAGGCCCAAGGCUGAGGGUUCACUCACCUUUUCAGCCAGAGGCUCAGGCGAGAAUGGACUUGAAACUUCACACACCUCCUCAGCCUGGACCCCAGAAGUCUCUUCAGCAGAUCAUAGGCCAGAAAGCCGAGAACCACACAGGUGAUGACCAACAGCGCCAGGGCCCUCUGGAAGUCCAGGAGGCAGGCGGUGAUCAAGAAAGCAAUGUACGCUGCAGGAGGAGUCAUUGGUGGGUUCAGCAGGGGAAGACCAUGACUCUAAACCCAGAGCGUGGUUUGUCACUCAGUUCCUCCCAGCCUAGCUGUCCUCACCUGGAAGUGAAACAAUUGUCCCCACUGUGUCAGAAUGUUAUUAGGGGACUGGGGACAUGGCUCAGGGGUGGAGGUUUGUCCAGCAUACCUGAGGCCCUGGCAAAAUGUGUAAAAAAGGCUUUUUUGUGUUAUAAAGUGGUAGCAGAGACUGGGGGAUGACAUUAUGGGCAUCAACAAAGCAACUGGCCUGAGCCAUGCUAAGUCUCCAGCGGGCCAGGCUGGAUGAGUCAGUGACUCCUGGACUCCAGAUUGUGCCUUUACCCUAUACUGUUGAUAACGAUCUCUCUCUUCCUCCCUCUCAUACAUGCACAUGUGGUGUGUGUGUGUGUGUGUGUGUGUGUGUGUGUGUGCAUGCUUGUGCAUAGGAUUGCUAGGUUCGGUUUAGGCCACACUCAUCCAUAACAGCCUCCUCCUCUCUCUGCUCUCACAGCUGCAGUAAAAGACAUGGCAGGCACCCUAAUAGGUCUGUGGGUCUGCAAUCCUCAUUUCUAAGAGUUCAGAAAGCUCAGGUUACUAGCCUCUGGGAACUUGAUAAGCCCCCUGCUGUGACCCUGCGCUGGCUAAGGAGGAUAGCUUCCGCCUUCCCUGCUGCCCAGGCAACCUGGCUACAAACGCAUAUUACUGACUACUCAUUAACUACAUGGAACGUGAUUGUCCUCCUCUCUUUGAAACCCUGAAGACAGUGGUUCUCAACUUGUGGGUCAUAAAUACCUGCUAUCAGAUAUUUAGAUUAUGAGUCAUAACAGUAGCAAAAUUACAGUUAUGAAGUAGCAACAAAAUAAUAUUGGGGGGG
Molecule: non-coding RNA, 1853 nt
Organism: Cricetulus griseus (Chinese hamster)
Lineage: Eukaryota; Metazoa; Chordata; Mammalia; Rodentia; Cricetidae
Source: RefSeq, a predicted model, not a curated record